GAUUUAGGCGCAAUCCCUGUUAGGAGGGAGGAGAGAGGAGGUGAGGCCGUCGGAGCCCUGGGUAUCUCAGGCUACCGGGCGCCACUGGGGCACAUGCUGCGCGCAGCGAGGGGCCAAACGAAGUCGGGAGCAGGAGAGAGACGCGGAGUAUCCAGACGGGUCAGGACGCAGCCCCCGUCCCCGAGGACCGCACUUUCUACCCCGCCUCUGCCAGUCCCUUCCCAGCCGUCCCAGCCCCUUGCUUCGGCCCCUUGAUUGCUUUGGGCAAGAAUGAAGCCUGGAGACCCCACGAAGACCCCGGAGGCCCAGUCGGCCGCCAUGGCCCUGGGUCCGCCGCGGCCCUGGGUCUGCCCGGCUGAUGUGCGGCUCUGCGGCCACCUGCGGAAGCAGAAGUCCCAGCGCCGCCGCUUUUUUGUGCUCCGCGCCGACCCGCCGCGCCUCGAGUGUUACGAAAGCGAGAAGAAGUUCCGCGCCGGCCGAACGCCGCCCAAGUUCAGUGUGAGCCUUGGGGGCGCCUGCACCAUCAGCAAGCGCGUGGACGCGCGCCAGCGCCACCUGAUCGUCCUGUACACGCGCGACCGCAGCCUGGGCGUGGCGGCGGCCAGCGAGGCGGAGCAGCAGGCGUGGUACAGCGCCCUGCUCGAGGCGCGCGCCGCCGCCGGUCCCAGUUCCCACGAGGACCCCGGGGCCUGGAUCCUCGCUCCAUUUCAGGACAUCUGGCCUGUGACGCUGCGACCCAAGGGGCUGGGGCGGGCACGAGGCCUGGGCAGCGGUGGCUACUGCCUGUGCCUGGGUUCCGGGGUACUGAGCCUGCUGCGGAAGCCAGGGGGCAGAGGCUCCGGGGCCACCGGGGCAUCUCCGCCGCCGGCCCUGCGCCUGUCCCUGCUCAGCGUGCGCCGCUGCGGCCACGCAGACGCUUUCUUCUUCCUGGAGCUCGGCCGCUCGGCAUCCACGGGUCCCGGGGAGCUGUGGCUACAGGCGCCCGACGCCGUGGUGGCCCAAAGCAUUCACGAGACCGUCCUGGCCGCCAUGAAGCGAAUCGGGGACAGUGGUGCUGUUGGCAGGGCUGAGCCACUGCCAAGAAAGCCCCCAACGGGAGCAUUCAGACCCUCUGUCCCCCAAUCUUAUGAGACCCCAGACUCCGCGGCCCAAACAAGCGAGCUGAACCGUCGGAAUGGCCGGAGUGAGACACUGGCGAGGCUGGGGGAGGCAGCCUCCAACCCCGCGAGGUUGGAGCGGGGCGGGAGCUACAUAACAAUGGGAGCCGGGAGUGACUACGAGCCCAUGAAGGGCGGCCAAGCCGGCGGCUAUGUGGUGAUGGAGCCCCCGGGCCUUCCCGCCUCCACCAAAGCAGCUCCCCGCCAGCCGCUCCAGGAUGGAGGAAGCACUGAAUACGUGACCAUGAGCUGCUGUGCACCACGGUCCUUUCCUUUCUUGCCUCUUUCCUCCGCGGCGGGGGAGCCUGGACCCGGGCUCCAAGGCGCUCAUCUCGGCCUCCGAGGCGGCUGGGGACGGGCCGGGGCUCAGCCCAGCUUGCAGCCGCCAUCAGAGUUAGCCGGAGAGUACGUAUGCAUUGAGUAUGCGGCCGCGGACUACAUAGGAAUGGGCACUGCCAUCCCCGAGCCCCCCGACCAUGGCCUCAACUACGUGGACCUGGAUCUGGUCCCUCCCCUGGAGGUGCGAGGCCACGCACCCGGGGCCAGGUCCCGCCCACACAGCUACGCUCGGCUGGAGUUCCAGAACCUCGCGGAGGCCGGGAGUUCCUGCAGCAUCACUCCAGACUCUCAAGUCUGCUUCGGUCCCCCACCCCGCCCCUGAUGAUGACAACAUUGAUGAUGCGGAAGACAUACAGACCUGGCCCUGCCCCUACCCGUGUGCAGGUUUGCCGGGUGUCUGCCAAAGUCCUGGGACCCCAGCGCAAGAGGGAUGAGAGCACCAGGUAUCUUACACUAGUGCCCCCACCGCCCUCUCCUGCCCCAGCCGAAGUGAUGACACCCCCUUACUCCCUACUCCCUAGUUUGCUUCUCCCAAUGCCAGCUCUGUGCUCAGGCAGUCCUCCUUCUCCCAAGCCUGGCAAAGCUGAGGGAGUCUUUGCUUCUAAUAUAUUCAGUCUAGCUAGAGUAACAUACUGUACACUCCCCCUCUUCAUUAAAGUUUCCCUGCUGGGUCAGCCUA
Long non-coding RNA from Capra hircus (goat), 2175 nucleotides. RefSeq annotates it as insulin receptor substrate 1. NCBI's taxonomy places the organism in Eukaryota, Metazoa, Chordata, Mammalia, Artiodactyla, Bovidae. The record is from RefSeq and is a predicted model, not a curated record. The transcript has 3 exons.